This 369-nucleotide ribosomal RNA is filed under the name Reticulitermes flaviceps. RNAcentral's name for it is "partial 16S ribosomal RNA". It matches the Rfam family "Bacterial large subunit ribosomal RNA", at positions 1950 to 2522 of the family's 2925-position model. The record is from RNAcentral. Lineage: Eukaryota; Metazoa; Arthropoda; Insecta; Blattodea; Rhinotermitidae.
GCAAAGGUAGCAUAGUCAUUAGUUCUUUAAUUGUGAUCUGGUAUGAAUGGCUUGACGAGGCAUGGGCUGUCUUAAUUUUGAAUUGUUUAUUGAAUUUGGUCUUUGAGUUAAAAUUCUUAGAUGUUUUUAUGGGACGAGAAGACCCUAUAGAGUUUAACAUUUGCUAUGGUCCCCUUUUGUUUGUGAGGGUUCACUGGGCCAUUUAAUAUGUUUUGUUGGGGUGAUGGGAGGGAUUAAUUUAACCCCUCCUUUUUAUUAUUAUAUUUAUUUAUAUUUACUUGAUCCAUUUAUUUUGAUUGUAAGAUUAAAUUACCUUAGGGAUAACAGCGUUAUCUUCCUUGAGAGUUCUUAUCGGCAGGGGGGUUUGCG